CGGAGUCGAAUCUGCUGUCCUUCAUGUCUUUGCCGAUGCCGCAUAAUUUGCUCGAGAAAGGAAAUCAUGUGAGGGCAAUGUACCUCUGCUGUUGCGUGGACUUGCAAAGGGCAAAAAAUGACGAGGUACAAGCAUGUAGCCUAGACCAGUGAGCAGUGACACAAUUCGCACGGGAUUAUUGAUGCUGAAACAAGAAAUAAAUUCUCUUCGGAGUUAAACAUGCUCCCGGCACAACAGGCAUCUACUCACUCCAGAGUCCAGGAUGGGAGUAUAUCAAUCGCAAACGGCACAUAAAAUAUACAUUUCCCUUGGCCUAACCGCCGUCCUCCGCCACUCGCUAAACCCCCACCAACCUACACCGUCAACUCUCGAACUCAUCACCGUCGUCCCCUUCUCCGGUCGGUUGUUUACCGCCGGCGAAAAAUCGACUGAAACCGUAAAAAAAGAAUAAUAAUUGCAAAAAAAAGACUUAGGCAAGGAACACGACAUACAAGCAUCAGCACUCUAUCCAGUAUCUAUGCAAUUUGAACUUUACUCCGGCGGAAUUACGGCGUCGGUGCGGCCGGAGGUGUGCCCCUCGACCGCUCCUCCUCCGGGGUGCCCCGCGCGCUCUCCUCGGUUGUCGUCUGGCCAUGGCCACCGCCGAUCUCCUCGAUCAUUCUGACCACGUCCGGAGCGUCCGGCCGCGCGUCCGGCACGGUGGCCACGCACGCCAUANNNNN
This 722-nucleotide long non-coding RNA is filed under the name Hordeum vulgare. RNAcentral's name for it is "long non-coding RNA (HVUL_LNC007029)". The record is from RNAcentral. Lineage: Eukaryota; Viridiplantae; Streptophyta; Magnoliopsida; Poales; Poaceae.